This 896-nucleotide long non-coding RNA is filed under the name Chrysemys picta bellii (western painted turtle). RNAcentral describes it as "lncRNA (ENSCPBG00000017186.1)". Lineage: Eukaryota; Metazoa; Chordata; Testudines; Emydidae. The record is from RNAcentral.
AUGAUGUGGAGUAAUGGACAUCUAACUGAAGAGCUGUUAUGGAAGUGCUUGAUGGGUCCAGAUGCUUGGGAUGUUGAAAGCACCCUGGACUAUCUGAGAGAGACACAGACAAGAAUGAGAACUUGCUAUUUAAGCACUGAGCCAUUGACAGGUGUCAAUCCACAUAAAAGGAACCAACUCUUCCUCUCCCUUCCUUGUCCUCAGUCUGCAAAGUUUUAACAAAUUUAAGUCACACUUCCAAACAAGGCAAUACAGAAAUAUUCCCUAAAUGGUGGACUGGUGACUUAUUUAACACGGAGGCCUGGCAUGGCUAACUGCCUCUUAGAUCUCUUAGAAGACAGCGCUGAAAAGGCUGUGCCAUUGCACCACAAACAGCAACAAAACUGCUCUGCAGCUGAAACAGAUGGUUGCGGAUGGGGAUGACAAUACUAAUGUGAACUGUGGAUGCUUUCCUUCUGUAUUGCAGCCCUUAGGGUGAAAAUAAGAAUGCCUUAUUGCAAGUGGCCUUGUGUGCUGCCUCUUCCUUCUCCACAAACUUUGGCAAAACCAUACUAUCAAUCACAUGGAAGAGGAUGAUGAGAUAUUUGAGAAAUUUCAGAAGAAAUCCUGUCUCAUCAUUGCAUGAACAAAGCUGAUUUCCUUCCCCCCAACAGGAAUGGUCAAUGCAUAGGAAGAAAUUCUUCAUCUUGUCUCCACUAGCUGGCUGAUCAAAUUUAACAGCUUUUUGGCAUGUCUGACCUGCUUUGAAGCCCUACGUUCAAAGCCAAGAAAGACAGAGCAAAUGUUAUGAUUCUUAAAAAGUCACAAAGGACUACAGGUUGAAGGGAUUGAUUUGAGAUUAGAAUAAUUAAACGAGUUUUGCUUGAAUAAACAACUACUGAUGGGUUGGGAGUGCA